This is a long non-coding RNA of Arachis duranensis, 370 nucleotides long. RefSeq lists it as uncharacterized. The transcript has 3 exons. NCBI's taxonomy places the organism in Eukaryota, Viridiplantae, Streptophyta, Magnoliopsida, Fabales, Fabaceae. The record is from RefSeq and is a predicted model, not a curated record.
GUUGCUUUUGGAGGUUUGGAAGGGAGGCUUGCUCGGAUUUGCUUCUGGUUCUGGUUCUCGCAGCUGUUGGAGCCUCUGCCACCAUCAGAGCUGCCAUUGAAGCUAUUGAUUUGGUUCCAAUUCCUCCAUUUUUUAGACCUGCUGCAUCUCUAUUUUCCCUGUUUACUGCUAAAACUAUCAUAGGGGAUACUGUUGAUGUCAUCAGGAAACUGUUAGAGCUGCUGUUGUUGCUAAUGCGAGUUAGAACGAAGUUGGAGUCACGUUUAAUUUUGUGGAUUUCAACUAACUGAGUGAUACAGGUUCGAAGACACAGUGUGAAGCUGGGGCGAUUGUUAGACCUUAUUUAUGAGUUAAGUUUUUGAAUUAAGUU